This 449-nucleotide ribosomal RNA is filed under the name uncultured bacterium. Its description in RNAcentral is "bacterial SSU rRNA". It matches the Rfam family "Bacterial small subunit ribosomal RNA", at positions 330 to 797 of the family's 1533-position model. The record is from RNAcentral.
UCCAGACUCCUACGGGAGGCAGCAGUGGGGAAUAUUGCACAAUGGGGGGAACCCUGAUGCAGCGACGCCGCGUGAGUGAAGAAGUAUUUCGGUAUGUAAAGCUCUGUCAGCAGGGAAGAAGAAAGACGGUACCUGACCAAGAAGCCCCGGCUAACUACGUGCCAGCAGCCGCGGUAAUACGUAGGGGGCAAGCGUUAUCCGGAUUUACUGGGUGUAAAGGGAGCGUAGACGGCAGGGCAAGUCUGGAGUGAAAGGCAGGGGCCCAACCCCUGGACUGCUCUGGAAACUGUCCGGCUGGAGUGCAGGAGAGGUAAGUGGAAUUCCUAGUGUAGCGGUGAAAUGCGUAGAUAUUAGGAGGAACACCAGUGGCGAAGGCGGCUUACUGGACUGUAACUGACGUUGAGGCUCGAAAGCGUGGGGAGCGAACAGGAUUAGAUACCCGCGUACCA